CUGCCCACCACAGCACCCAAGGCUAUACAGCACCUCAACACGUGCUCAAAACCUGAUCAAAACACUCAUGCACGGUGUAAAGUCAAGGUUUGAUUCAGAUUUGGCUCCUGCUGGGAAAAUUGGAAUGGAAGGCACACCAACAAAUGUUAUCAAGCAGUUAAGCUUUAUGGAUGAUUCCCAUGUUGAGAAGCUGCUAAUGAAUCAGCAAGAUGCUUUGUUGAUUACUUAUGAUGGCAGAUCGCUGCUGCACCACGCCAUCCUGUCCGGCAACCUGGCCGUUGUGUGUGCCAUUCUUCAGCGAGGUGGAUUCUCCGAUGAGCCGGACUCAGAAGGCAAGUAGCUGAUGGACCAG
Molecule: long non-coding RNA, 352 nt
Organism: Amphibalanus amphitrite
Lineage: Eukaryota; Metazoa; Arthropoda; Thecostraca; Balanomorpha; Balanidae
Exons: 3
Source: RefSeq, a predicted model, not a curated record